GGGGGCUUUAACCCAUGCAAGUCGAACGGAAGCGUACAUUAGAAGUUUUCGGAUGGAAGAUAUACGUUUUAGUGGCGGACGGGUGAGUAACGCGUGAGUAACCUGCCUUUCAGAGGGGGAUAACGUUUUGAAAAGAACGCUAAUACCGCAUAACGCAUAGUUGUCGCAUGGCAAUUAUACCAAAGGAGCAAUCCGCUGAAAGAUGGACUCGCGUCCGAUUAGCCAGUUGGCGGGGUAACGGCCCACCAAAGCGACGAUCGGUAGCCGGACUGAGAGGUUGAACGGCCACAUUGGGACUGAGACACGGCCCAGACUCCUACGGGAGGCAGCAGUGGGGGAUAUUGCGCAAUGGGGGAAACCCUGACGCAGCAACGCCGCGUGAAUGAGGAAGGUCUUCGGAUUGUAAAGUUCUUUUGUCGGGGACGAAGAAGUGACGGUACCUGACGAAUAAGCUCCGGCUAACUACGUGCCAGCAGCCGCGGUAAUACGUAGGGAGCAAGCGUUAUCCGGAAUUAUUGGGUGUAAAGGGUGCGUAGACGGGAACUUAAGUUGGUUGUGAAAUCCCUUGGCUUAACUGAGGAACUGCAACCAAAACUGAGAUUCUUGAGUGCAGGAGAGGAAAGCGGAAUUCCUAGUGUAGCGGUGAAAUGCGUAGAUAUUAGGAGGAACACCAGUGGCGAAGGCGGCUUUCUGGACUGUAACUGACGUUGAGGCACGAAAGUGUGGGGAGCAAACAGGAUUAGAUACCCUGGUAGUCCACACUGUAAACGAUGGAUACUAGGUGUAGGAGAUGAUUUCAUCAUCUGUGCCGAAAGCCAACGCAAUAAGUAUCCCACCUGGGGAGUACGGCCGCAAGGUUGAAACUCAAAGGAAUUGACGGGGGCCCGCACAAGCAGUGGAGUAUGUGGUUUAAUUCGAAGCAACGCGAAGAACCUUACCAGGGCUUGACAUAUAGAGUAAUAUUUAAGAGAUUAAAUAGCUCUUCGGAGACUCUAUACAGGUGGUGCAUGGUUGUCGUCAGCUCGUGUCGUGAGAUGUUGGGUUAAGUCCCGCAACGAGCGCAACCCUUGUUCUUAGUUGCCAGCAUGUAGAGAUGGGAACUCUAAGAAGACUGCCGGUGAUAAAUCGGAGGAAGGUGGGGACGACGUCAAAUCAUCAUGCCCUUUAUGUCCUGGGCUACACACGUACUACAAUGGCCGCAACAAAGAGAAACGAAUCAGCGAUGAUGAGUAAAACUAAAAAACCGGUCUCAGUUCGGAUUGAAGGCUGAAAUUCGCCUUUAUGAAGUCGGAAUUGCUAGUAAUGGCAGGUCAGCAUACUGCCGUGAAUACGUUCCCGGGCCUUGUACACACCGCCCGUCACACCAUGAGAGUUGGAGAUACCCGAAGCCUGUGAGCUAACUUUAGGAGCAGCA
This 1414-nucleotide ribosomal RNA is filed under the name uncultured rumen bacterium. RNAcentral's name for it is "bacterial SSU rRNA". It matches the Rfam family "Bacterial small subunit ribosomal RNA". The record is from RNAcentral.